AACACUUGGAAUUAAAGUGCAAGGAAUUUAAAUUUUUAUGAACUAUAAUUGUUGGAGAUACACUAUACAAGGUGGGAAAACUAACCUUUCAUGAAAAAGAUUUCAUGGAUCUUGGGGUUUGAAUAAGUAGAAAAAAAUAUCAAAGUUACAUUAGAGGGCUAAAAGGAGUAAAGAAAACAAAGGUGGGAUUUGCUAAAUCUACAUGAAAUCUCCUAUACAUCUCUCUCGGCUGCUACAACCCACAAAAUGACAAACCCCUUUCUUUUCCCCAAAGCUCCAAGGACAGAGGCUGAGAUCACAUAUUCUUUUAGCCUCCUAGAGAUAUAGCAAGGUCUCUCCUACAAUCUGCCAACACAUACACAAAAUUGGUUAAGGAUACAUCUCAACAAAAUCAAAGAGAAAAAAGAAUCUUUUGUAGAGAUAGGAAGAGUGAGCAAGCUGUCUGGACAACCGUGCUCCUCAAACACAGCAACCACAAUCUUUCACCAAAAGAGGAAUGGUGACAAAUGAGCAAGAGAGAUGAGCUCAUCGUCCAACCCAUAAAGAGAAGAGUAAUAUUAUCCAAAUCACAAGAGAAAUCAGCAAAGAUCUCCCCUAUCCCAAGACUUUUACUAAUUCGGCAAGAGGCCUCUUGUCAUGCUAAAAGGAGAAGGAUCCCAUAGCUAAGAGUAGAAAGGUGAAGCUCCCAAAAUCUGCCAUAAUGAGACAAAACUUUUGCCUAUAUAAGAACCCCACCGUCCCCUCCAUCCCCCCACUUUCAUCACCAAAAUUUACAAAUCAUAAGGAGCACACCGAAGUUGAGGGAGAGGAGCGAUGGGCGGCAGUGGCAUGAAGUCAGUCCACAACCGAGAGCAACUACCAAGGCAAGGUUGAGCAGUGAUGACAGCGGGCGGUGUUGAGCAUAGACAAUGUAGAUCCUUCGAUAGAAUAGUACUCGGAUGCGACGUGUCUCCAUACACGACGUUAUCUGCUCUUGACUCUUCCACUGCAAUGUAAAAGUCGAGUUUGCGCUCUUUGUAUCGUGCACUCUGAUAUAUAUUAUUUGAGUUAUUUCAGUUCAA
Salvia splendens (bonfire salvia) is the source of this 1061-nucleotide long non-coding RNA. RefSeq lists it as uncharacterized. The record is from RefSeq and is a predicted model, not a curated record. The transcript has 2 exons. Lineage: Eukaryota; Viridiplantae; Streptophyta; Magnoliopsida; Lamiales; Lamiaceae.